This 74-nucleotide transfer RNA is filed under the name Clostridia bacterium. RNAcentral describes it as "tRNA-Thr". It matches the Rfam family "tRNA". Rfam says of the family: Transfer RNA (tRNA) molecules are approximately 80 nucleotides in length. Lineage: Bacteria; Bacillati; Bacillota; Clostridia. The record is from RNAcentral.
GCAGGUAUGGUUUAAUGGUAGAACACUGGUUUUGUAGUCCAGUGAUGUGGGUUCGAUUCCUACUAUCUGCUCCA